AUACUAAAACUCAAUACAAAAUUACUGUUCAUUAACUGUAAACGGGCGAAAAUGCCCUCCAAUUCCUUUGUUAUUUGCAUUUUUUUCCUUUUUUUUUACAGUUAAAAGACGACUUUGCCCUUUGUCUCCACCCGUAGAUCACUUCUCAGCUUCUGUUGUUUUCAAUGGCAUAAAUGCCCUCCGAUUCUUCUCCAUUAUGCGUUUGUCCACGCGUCGCUCAUCGCUCUGCACGACCUUUCUUCUCGACUUUUCCCUCCGUUCCACUUUUUUCCCUCACAAUUCCCUGCUCUUGAACCUCGAUUCCUUUCGCUUUCCAAAGCUGCCUUCUCUCCUUCUCCGACCCUGCGAGCUUUGUCUCACAAAUUACCAACCGCACUUUCUUGCUGAAAAACCACCUAACUUGUAGAAGUUUCUUCGGUUCUUCGGUUGGAUUCGGAGAAAUUUUUUACCUAGAAAAGCUAGCGUUUCCUGGGGACCCUGGUUUUUCCUUUUUUGCGGUUUUGUAACUCAAGGCUUUGGAGAGUAACAGCCACGAAUCCGGGGCUCCGAUUGAAUUGGGUUGUUCUUGCAAGGAUGAUUUGGCUGCUGCCCACAAGAACUGUGCUGGUACUUUGGUUCAAGGUUAAGGGCAACAAG
Long non-coding RNA from Pyrus x bretschneideri (Chinese white pear), 636 nucleotides. RefSeq lists it as uncharacterized. NCBI's taxonomy places the organism in Eukaryota, Viridiplantae, Streptophyta, Magnoliopsida, Rosales, Rosaceae. The transcript is spliced from 3 exons. The record is from RefSeq and is a predicted model, not a curated record.